Molecule: non-coding RNA, 548 nt
Organism: Cricetulus griseus (Chinese hamster)
Lineage: Eukaryota; Metazoa; Chordata; Mammalia; Rodentia; Cricetidae
Source: RefSeq, a predicted model, not a curated record
ACACCGUAAAUAAAUCACUGGAUGGAGGUAGGGCUCAAGGAGAAACUGCUAAACUUUUCAAAGACAACAUAAUAAAAAACUGUCUAUGGAGCCAUAGAAGAAAACUGGAGUCAUCCUGUGUGAAAAAGGAAAGCAGGCACAACACAAAACUGCUGACAAACACACCAAUGACCAUCAACACUAGCGCCGAGACAACAAAAGUGUGGCUUCUUUUUCCUGCCCUCAUCAGAAAUAUUUGAUACAAGAGGAAAGAACAAUUCUGCUGAGAAGGAAUUAAGAAGACACUGUAUUGUUGCCUGAUUUCUUCUGUAACGUAACUUUCCCAAAUUGGAAUCUGGUUCAAUAUUAAGAUAAUAGGACAAGUUCUGUUAUUAUCUACAAAUAAGAGUUACCAUAGCUUAGAUAUUGAACACCAAUCCCUUCUAAAAUUAGAGCUAGCCACUCUACAUGCAGUAAGCUACAGAGUCAAAUUGGAUAGAAGCCUGGAAUUAAAAGGUAAUGAGCUAUUUCAAGUGUUCCAAACAUCAAAUAAAAUGUUCCAUGAAGUA